This 538-nucleotide ribosomal RNA is filed under the name uncultured bacterium. RNAcentral's name for it is "partial 16S ribosomal RNA". It matches the Rfam family "Bacterial small subunit ribosomal RNA", at positions 355 to 887 of the family's 1533-position model. The record is from RNAcentral.
UGGGGAAUUUUGGACAAUGGGGGAAACCCUGAUCCAGCCAUCCCGCGUGUGCGAUGAAGGCCUUCGGGUUGUAAAGCACUUUUGGCAGGAAAGAAACGUCGCGGGUUAAUACCCCGCGAAACUGACGGUACCUGCAGAAUAAGCACCGGCUAACUACGUGCCAGCAGCCGCGGUAAUACGUAGGGUGCAAGCGUUAAUCGGAAUUACUGGGCGUAAAGCGUGCGCAGGCGGUUCGGAAAGAAAGAUGUGAAAUCCCAGAGCUUAACUUUGGAACUGCAUUUUUAACUACCGGGCUAGAGUGUGUCAGAGGGAGGUGGAAUUCCGCGUGUAGCAGUGAAAUGCGUAGAUAUGCGGAGGAACACCGAUGGCGAAGGCAGCCUCCUGGGAUAACACUGACGCUCAUGCACGAAAGCGUGGGGAGCAAACAGGAUUAGAUACCCUGGUAGUCCACGCCCUAAACGAUGUCAACUAGCUGUUGGGGCCUUCGGCCUUGGUAGCGCAGCUAACGCGUGAAGUUGACCGCCUGGGGAGUACGGUC